Molecule: long non-coding RNA, 1415 nt
Organism: Danio aesculapii
Lineage: Eukaryota; Metazoa; Chordata; Actinopteri; Cypriniformes; Danionidae
Exons: 3
Source: RefSeq, a predicted model, not a curated record
AUAUAUAUUUUUUUUUUUUGCAAAUAUCUAUAUAACCUUUGGUAUUUGUCCUUGUCUAAAAUGCCAGUGCUGUUCACCACUUUGAAACUCUUUGUUUCUGUUUAUGAAGCUCCUAAAAGAAAUGAUAGGUCUGAAGUUAGAGCAUGUUGAAUUCACAGAUGGCUCGGACAAAGUCAAAGGUGCCAUUUGCUGACAUAAGCAACUCCAAGCCUUCAUGGGGUUUGUCUGUUGAAAGAUGUUACUUUGAAUUUCACCACAGCAAGCAGCGUGGUAAUGGUGUCUCCAGGGUCGUAAAAUCAUCAGUUCAAUGUGCUUUCUUGUCAAGUAGGAUCACUGUCAACAAAGUUGAGAUGUUAUUUUUGCAGUCUAAAUGUAAUAAAAGAUGUCUUUCAUGGACAACGACAUAUGUUUUACAUGGUUAAAUGAGGUGAAAUUUUGCAAGACUGCUCAAUAAGACAAGUUUUCCCUUGCUGGAUGAUGGACACCAGUGUUUCAUCUGGCAACAACGUAUCUGGAACAAAUGCUAAAAUAUUUGAGUCAUACCACCUUGUGAUUGAGGGCACUCUUCGGGAUAAUUUAUGAAGAUGUACAACAUUUGUAGUGAAUAAAUCUCUGGAUAAAAUUUACUGUUCCAGAACUUCCAACUGAUGACUUGAUGAUUAAUUUGUUUUAUCAGGGACAUAACAAUGGACAUAAAGCAAGUAAUUUAAAGGCUAUUGAAGUGCAGGAUUUGCAGAUAUGCAUUUUCAAGGAAUACAUGAGUACAAACAAACCUUUCUGGAGCAGCAACGAGUUGGCAGUUUGUUUCCUGGCCCAAGACUCCUGUUCCAGUACAUAUAUUUCAUUGACUUGUAAACUUCAUUGGACGCUGUGUAUUCUCAAUUCAAGAGCUGACUGCCCAUGAGUGACAUUUCACAAUUAAACAACAAAUCUGUUUUAUUACCAUAUUCCCAAAUGUUUACAUGUUUGAGGAAAAUUCUAAACUUGAUAUAAAAUGUUUAAUUUUCCAAUAAAGUCUUUUUUUUAUGUAAUUUGUCAUGUUUAAUAAUGCUUUUGCUGACAUGAGCCAUAAAUGCACAAAUGGUGCACAUUGAUUAGCCAAGAAAAAAUAAAAAUGGCACUUGAUGCCCAAAAGGUUGCUGACCCCUGGUAUAGCACAUGGUAAUAAUUACAAGCAAUUUCAAUCUGAGCAAAUAAUGCAAUCCAAGCGUACUCCCACUGUAAAACAGUCCCUAACUUUGUUUGUUCUAAUGGUUUCUACCUGCUAUAGCCAUACCUGAGAUCCAAAUUCUAUUGGCUAAAGUUUCAGAUGGUUUAUAACGACACAAGAAAACUCAGCUGCAUCAUCAAGAAAAAUAUUAAACAAAAAACAAAUUGGGUAACACUUUAUAAUAACUACACACUAUGAACCAUUU